Canis lupus familiaris (dog) is the source of this 837-nucleotide long non-coding RNA. RefSeq lists it as uncharacterized. The record is from RefSeq and is a predicted model, not a curated record. The transcript is spliced from 5 exons. NCBI's taxonomy places the organism in Eukaryota, Metazoa, Chordata, Mammalia, Carnivora, Canidae.
CACAAUUACUCUACUCAACAGUAAAUGUAGAAAUUAGAAAAGUUAAAGUGUAAAACAAAUACAGGGCCCCCAACUGUGGCCUCCCAUUAACAUGGGGUGUGUGUAACCAUGAUGUUAACAUUCCAGACAGAAGCUUGGCAUUGGAUCAUUUUUGUACGAUUUCUCUGUCCCAAAUUCGACAUUCAUUUGAGAUACUCAAGAGGAAGAUAAGGAUAAUGGUAUUUCUUGUAAUUUUUAAUUUCCAGAGGUAUUGGAUUUCUUAGUGUCAACACCAAAUGCUGGCAAGAAUGGAAAGGAACAAAAUCACACAUACAUUGCUGAUGGGAAUAUACAAUGGGAAUUUGCAUCAAGAACGUUGCCAGCGGGGUGACCUUACCUCUCCGUCUGCUUCUCUCUGUCCAUCCUUUCAUUGUAUCCUCGAUCCAGGAUCUGGAAUCCCGCGUCCCAAGGGCCGAGGAGGAGGAGCAAUCCUCCCGAAGCCCAGUCACUUCCUCGCCUAAAAGAGGGGAGUGCUCCGAGAGAACGUAGAGUUGCCUUUAAUCCUAGAGCUCUGGAUGAACAACGGAAACAGCCUCUGCUCUGAAGAAGUUUGAGCCCCACCCUGUCCUUGAAGACCUUCGGAUGUCAAGCUUUCUCUGUCCACAUUGUGACUGAUGCAAUGACCCAAGUUCCCCACCAUAUUGCAGUAGAGGAAUGGGAGAGGGUUCCACCCACUGCACAGCAUCCUCUUCCCCCCUACAGAGUAAGACCUGCCCCACGCAUCUCCUCACCUCCAUGUAGUAUUUUUCACCAGUGACGAGUGAUCAAAAUAAAAUCUUUCUGCCUUUUGUUCCCUUC